Molecule: long non-coding RNA, 43344 nt
Filed under: Triticum aestivum (bread wheat)
Lineage: Eukaryota; Viridiplantae; Streptophyta; Magnoliopsida; Poales; Poaceae
Description: long non-coding RNA (TAES_LNC017053)
Source: RNAcentral
AAUAAACUAGACAGAGGCAUGAUAUUAUCGGUAACAACAACAAUCUAGCAUGUCAACUUAUUUUAUGAAAGCAUAAGCAUGCAAGACAGAUAACAAAACAUAUAGCACGACUAAAAUAACAGCAGACGGAACAGACAAGAAAAAACUACAACUAAACACACACACGAGGUGCAAGCAAAGUCAACAUGCAAGUUCGGGGCUCAUGAUAAGAGGUUUGCUUGCCUGGGUGUUGGGGAUAUAACUACUAGUAUGACCCACCAAAAUGAGCUGGGUUAUACUUAGAAGCAUUCUUGAACACAGAAGCUCAAGCUUGAAGACGGUGGCUUAGUAAAGGCCCAACGGCCCAGAGAUGACGUAAGGUUCGUAGUGUUAAACUGCCUUGAGUAUGUAACUUAUAUGGUAAGGCAAGAAAGGUUAAGAGACCGAGCCGGAUACAAUCUAUAAGCUGGCCGGGACUCUGUAGAGCCGCUGGGCGUCAACCUCAGUAUAUACAAGGACGACCCGGCGGUGGUUUAGGGUACGAAACAACAACUCAAGAACUAGGUCAAGCGACUCUGCUUCCUGGUCGACAUACAUAAUCCCAAUCACAACUAGACAUAGGCUUUUACCUUCAUCUUAAGGGGCCGAACUAGUAUAAAACCUCUCGUGUCUAUUGUCCUGAUUAACCCCUUCAAGCUUCCUAGUUGCGAUGGCUCCACGACUAAGUCCUUUCACUAGGACAUCUGACGUGACAAUUCCACGACAGUUCGCGCCCACCGUGGGGCCAGCGCACGGUGGAUUUGAGUUCUUGAAGGGCAGCUUCGAAGGUCUCAAGGGAUACGCCGUGGGCCGGAUGACCAAGAGUCAUCGCGGCAAGCUCUACAUCAACGACGCAGGCUGGGGCCCCGAGGCCGUCUCAAUUGAGUAUGGGUACCGGGUCCCCUUCGGCGGAAUCCAUGUCUUCAUCGGCAAGAUCGGCGAGCCGGGCCCUCAGCCGGACAUCUGCACCGACCUCGUCGAGAUGGCACAGCGUGCGAGACCCGCCCGGGCUCCGCCGGCUGUGAAGCAUGCCUUCGUGGGAUGCAUCCAUGGAGGACUCUCUGAAGGGUCUGCCUCUGAUGGUGAGGUGGCCAUCUACUCUGACGGUGAGUCGUCCACAGGCGAGACAGAUUCAUUGUACCAACUGCAGGAUGGCGGGCUCGGCGGCUGUUCCGAUGGCAGCAGUAUUCCAGAUUGUCUUGAGCAGUCGUCCAGGGUCGGGAUCUUCAUGGCUGGAACCCAACCCAUCCAGGACUCCGCAACUGCAGCAGCGGUAACCUCCGGGUCAGCGGUAGCCAGGGAAGGAGGUCAUGUGCGCUCACCGGCCCAGGUGUUAAUGGAUCUCACCGACAAAUUAACCACCCUGUUAACCGCCGUAGUCAGCCCGGCGGAUCAAGCCAGUCAUGACACAGAGGUGGCACAGUUAAAGUUGGAUAUGGUGCAAGCUAAGGAGGACCUGGCAGCAGAAGAUGUUAGGAUAACCGCAGAGCGGGCGGCUCUGGAUGUUCAGGCUCAUCAGAUUCAGGCGCACGCUUUUCGGCUUACGCAAGACCAGAACGCAGCUAAUGAAGUCAUGAGGAGAAGGCAUCAGAAGACCCAGUCUCGACUUCCCCCGGUUUAUGACCCUCGGAACCUUUUUAACACGCCAGGAGCAGGGCCCAGUAACCUGCUGUGGCUCGUCCCGCAGACAGGCAACCCGCCAUGGGUCCCUCCGCGCACAGGGCCAGACCAUGUUGCGACACCCGGGGAUGGAGCACCGUUUCAGUCUCCGGUGAUGGGACCUCCCCCUGUAAAUAUGGCGCCACCUCAGUACGUACCAACCCCUCUGGGUCAUUAUUCCAACCCAUUGGAAAACAUGAUAGCAGCAGCAACUCGAUUGGCGGCUCUCCCGAUUGAUGGCGACUCUCCGACUGCGGUUGAAACCCGCCGGGUCAGGGAACUUCUUCAGACGACUUUAGUACAGCAGGAGGCGUACUCAUACAGUCGGGACAGGAUCCACUCGACCCCUCGUCCAAGCCGAAGCCCGAGUUAUAGCAUGCACAUGGAUUCAGCGGCCGUAUCAAGCAAUGUUAGACAUCGUGACCAGCAAGGUGGCGGUAACCCGCUACGUCAUGAGGCCGUUAACUUGGUAGAGCAAGAGAGACUACGGCAAGAGGCUGAACGGGCAGCUGAACAAGCGGCUCAGUUGAUGGCUUAUCAGCCAUAUCCGGUUUACCCAGCGACUUCUGUUGAGGCAGGUAUAGCCACCCAGACUGGAGGAGUCCCAUGUCUAGUACCGGCUCUACAUAACAAGCGGUUGCCCAAAGAUUUUAAAGGACCCAGGAAGGUGCCGAAUUACACAGCGGACUUAUAGCCCGGGGCAUGGAUUGAGAGCUACGAGAUGGCUAUGGAGCUGUUGGAGGUUUCUGAUGUGGCAAUGGCUAAGUACUUCACCAUGAUGUUGGAUGGAACCGCCCGCACCUGGUUGAAAGGCCUGACACCUAAUUCAAUCAGUUCAUGGGCGGAGUUAAAGGACCGGUUCAUCCAGAACUUCAAAGACACGUGCAAACAGCCCAUGUUGAUCGUGGAUCUGACGAAUUGUAAGCAGGAAGAGGGUGAGUCUACAACCCAUUGGGUACGCUGGGUUAAGGCCAUAAUACAUUCAUCUGAUAAGAUGGAUGCCGACUCUACAGCCUUAAUGUUGGAGAAGAAUUGUCGUUUCUUACCUUUGAAACAAAAGCUGGGGCAGCUCAAACGUGAUUGCAAUGAUAUGGGCACACUGAUGGCGGCUCUGGUCAAGUAUGCCGAUUUUGAUAGUACCAAGGAUCCCGAGUCUGAUGAUGAGAAGGCAGGGAAGGGAAACAGGAACGGCAACGGCAAGGGCUCUCAGCACAACCCGGCAAAUCAAGGAAGUAACAAACGUAAGGCUGACGGUAGUUUGGAUUUUGUGGCUAACACCAAUGCGCAGGGUCAUAACCAGCGGCGCAAGGGAAGGCCACCUCCCCGAUCCAGCGGGUCAGUACCCACACUUGAGCAGUUGUUGAAUGAACCUUGCCUGAGACACGUCUCUAAGGAGAAGCCGGCUACACAUUUGUGGAAGGAUUGCACGAUUAUGAAGGCGUUCAAGAAUUCCAACAUGUUUGAUGGUAACAAUGGCCAGGGCGGCUUAGGUGGUGGCGGCUUUCAUGGCCCCGGCGGCGGGUCAAAUCCCAAUUUUCAAAAUUCCCAUGGAAACCAGGGUGGAUAUAACCAACAGGCUAGUCAGGGCAGUCAGCAGUAGCAGCAAGGUGGAUACCAGAGCAAUCCGAAGCAACUAACAGUGGGCAAUAUCAUGUGUUUACCACCAGUUUGUGUAAACGGGACCAGAAGCUUCAUAAGAGGGCCGUGAACGCGGUUGAGCUGGCAAUCCCUCGUUAUUUGAGGUGGUCUGAGCAGCCUAUCAUAUGGAGUAGAGAGGAUCACCCUCCCCGGGUUGAAAAUCCGGGUCACUUAGCUCUGGUCGUAGCCCCUCAAGUGGGAGGAUACAAGUUCACCAAGGUGCUGAUGGAUGGAGGCAGCAUCAUCAAUAUACUUUAUUAUGAGACCUUCCGUCGCAUGGGGCUGACUGAUAAGAGCCUUAAGAAGUCCAACACUAUUUUCCAUGGAGUUGUACCUGGUAAGUCAGCGUAUCCGGUCGGCAAGAUACAGUUGGAGGUGGCAUUUGGGGAUGAAUACGAUUCCAGAGCCGAGAAAUUAACAUUUGAAGUAGUUCAGAUUAAGAGCCCUUAUCAUGCUCUGUUUGGGCGGCCGGCUUAUGCCAAGUUCAUGGCACGGCCGUGUUAUGUGUACUUGCAGCUCAAAAUGUCGGGUUACAAGGGAACCAUUACGGUACACGGGAGUCACAAGGUGGCUCUGGAAUGUGAAGAAGGUGAUGCGGCUUAUGCUGAGUCGGCCUGCGCGACGGAAGAGUUAAAGUUCUACAAGGACAAUGUUGACCCGGCAGAUAUGACAUCUUUGAAGAAGCCAACUACCGAGCAUGAGCCGGCCAUGAAAUUUCAGUCGGCGAAGGAAACUAAGCUUGUCGAUUUUGUCCCAGGCGACUCAUCCAAGCAGUUCAGUAUCAGUGCUAAUUUGGGUCCCAAAUAGGAAGGCGCGCUCAUCGAGUUCAUCCGUGAGAAUCGGGACAUUUUUGCAUGGAAUCCAUCUGACAUGGCGGGUGUACCGAGAGAACUCACUGAGCACACUCUUAAUAUCGGUCCAAAGUUUAAGCCGGUCAAGCAAUUUCUUCGGCGGUUUAAUGAGGAGAGAAGGAAAGCUAUCGGUGAGGAAGUGGCCUGGCUCUUGGCGGUGGGUUUAUCAUUGAGGUGUUUCAUCUAGACUGGCUGGCUAACCCGAUGCUUGUUCUUAAGAAAAACGGCACUUAGCGUAUGUGUGUGGAUUACACGGACUUAAACUAGGCCUGUCCUGCUGAUCCUUUUGCUCCCCCUCGUAUUGAUCAGAUCAUCGAUGCUAUGACGGGUUGUGAGCGUUUGAGAUUUUUGGAUGCUUAUUCUGGUUAUCAUCAGAUCAAGAUGGCUGUUAAGGACCAGGAGAAGACGGUGUUCAUCACUCCGUUUGGAGCCUUCUGCUAUGUUUCAAUGCCUUUCGGGCUCAAGAGUGCCCAGGCGACUUACCAGCGAUGCGUACAGAAUUGUCUCCAUUAUCAUAUUGGACGCAAUGUUCAUCCCUAUGUGGAUGACAUAGUGGUUAAGUACAGAGAGAAAGAGUCCUUGAUUGAUGAUCUCAAGGAAACAUUUGAUAAUCUCUGGGUCUACAAGAUGAUGCUUAACCCAGCCAAGUGUGUUUUUGGUGUGCCUGCAGGCAUGCUUUUGGGUUUUCUGGUUUCUAACAGAGGCAUCGAAGCUAACUCGGAGAAGAUAAAAGCUAUCACCUCCUUGGCCAAGCCGGCGUGUAUUAAUGAUGUCCUGCGUUUGGCGGGUCGGGUCGCCGCCUUAAGCCGGUUCAUAAGCCGGUUAGGGGAGAAGGCUAUGCUGCUGUAUCAGAUGAUGAAGAAGACAGAUAGCUUUACUUGGAAUGACGCUGCCAAUACUGCCUUUGAAGAUCUGAAGAGACAGUUGGCUGAGCUGCCGGUUCUUGCUGCUCCCAUUGAUAAGGAGCCUUUGCUCCUAUAUGUGGCUGCUAAUACACGUGCUCUCAGUGUGUCUAUUGUGGUGGAACGCAAGGAGGCUGGCAAGGAGCACCUGGUUCAGCGGCCGGUUUACUACAUUAGUGAGGUACUGAUCGACUCCAAGCAGCGAUAUCCGCGUUGGCAGAAACUUGUCUAUGGGGUGUUUAUGGCCAGCCGGAAGCUUAAACAAUACUUUUUGGGCCAUCCCAUCACUGUGGUUAGUUCUGCCCCCUUGGGGGAUAUUAUUCAGAACAGAGAGGCCAUAGGGCGAGUCGCCAAAUGGGCCAUUGAGCUUGGGCCUCAUGGUUUAAAAUAUGUGCCGCGCACAGCUAUUAAAUCUCAAGCAUUGGUGGAUUUCAUCAAUGACUUGACAGAAUUGCAGAUGCCUGAGGAAAAGACGGACAAUACUUAUUGGACAAUUCAUUUUGAUGGGUCUAGGCAACUGGAAGGCUCGGGGGCUGGAGUUAUUCUGGCUUCCCCUCGAGGUGAUAAGUUUUGUUAUGUACUCCGGUUGAUGUUUCCUUGUACUAACAAUGCAUCUGAGUAUGAGGCCUUGCUCCAUGGUCUCUGGAUGGCUAAAGAGAUGAAUUUAAGCCGGGUAAGGUGCUUUGGCGACUCAGAUUUAGUGGCUUAGCAAGUGUCAGGCAAGUGGGAUUCAAAGGACCCUCUCAUGGAAGCUUAUCGUCGGGAGGUUGAUGCAAUUGCGGGGCACUUCAAGGGUUAUCAGGUGGAACACAUUGACCAUAGAAAUAACAAGGCGGCUGAUGCCUUAAGCCAGCUGGGAUCUCAGCGUAAGCCGGUGCCGCCUAAUACUUUCUUGGAUUAUUUGUAUAACCCUUCUGUCAAGCUACCUACAGAGGAAGAUUUGGCUGUUCCUGACCCUGAGGCACAGUUGGUGGCGGCUCUUCAUAUCAUCCCAGAUUGGACGGCGCCGUAUCUGGCCUAUAUGACACGGGGUGAGUUGCCUGAAGAUGAAACCUUGGCCAGGCAGAUAACCCAGCGGUCUAAGUCCAUGACGAUCAUCAAUGGCGAGUUACAUCAUUGCAGUGUUACAGGGGCUUUUCAGUGUUGCCUCUCUCCUGAAGAAGGCCAAGAAAUUCUACGUGAGAUUCAUGAAGGGGAUUGCGGUCAUCACGCCGGGUCAAAAUCUAUUGUGGCUAAAGCUUUUUGUCAUGGGUUUUAUUAGCUGACGGCUCAUGCAGACGCAGAGGAUCAGGUCAGUAAAUGUGAUGGUUGUCAGAAGUUCUCAAGACGGGCUCAUGUGCCGGCUCAAGAGUUGAGGAUGAUUACAAUUACUUGGCCGUUUGCAGUCUGGGGGCUUGACAUGGCUGGGCCUUUCAAGCGAUCCAAAGAUAAAAAUACUCACCUCUUGGUGGCGGUUGAUAAGUUCACAAAGUGGGUCGAGGCAGAGCCAGUCAGUAAGUGUGAUGCAGCUACGGCGGUUCAAUUCAUGAAGAAGGUGAUAUUUCGCUUUGGUUUUCCACACAGCAUUAUAACUGACAAUGGCACUAAUUUGUCUAAAGGCGCCAUGGAGGAGUUCUGUCAACGUGAGCAUAUCCGGCUUGAUGUUUCAUCAGUGGCUCACCCUCAUUCCAAUGGUCAAGCCGAGAGAGCCAAUCAAGAGAUCCUGAAAGGCAUUAAGCCCCGGCUCUUUGUCCCUUUGCAAUGGACGCCGGGUUGUUGGGUUGAGGAGUUACCUUCAGUGUUAUGGAGCAUCAACACUACUCCUAACAGAUCUAUGGGUUAUACGGCUUUCUUCAUGGUAUACAGAGCUGAGGCAGUUCUCCCUAGUGACAUCCGUCAUGAUUCACCUCGUGUGGCGGCUAAUGUGGAGGAAGACAAUGAACAAGCACGUCAGGAUGUUCUUGAUCUGUUAGAUGAACAUCGGGACUUGGCAGCAGCUUGCUCGGCGAUUUAUCAACAGGACUUGCGCCGUUACCACAGCUGCCGAGUUAAGUCCAAAUCUUUUUAGGAAGGUGAUUUAGUGCUCCGGCUCAUCCAGGAUCAAACUGAUGCUCACAAGUUAUCCCCACCUUGGGAAGGGCCAUUUUUGGUCAGCAAGAACUUGAACAACGGGUCAUAUUACCUUAUUGACGUUCGAGAGCACAAAGACUCACUUAAGUCGGAGGAGGAGACCCGGAGGCCGUGGAAUAUUGCUCAUCUCCGGCCCUACUACACUUGAGCCAUAGGCUCCACUGAUGUACAUAUUUUGCCGAUGUAUAUAUUAUGAUAAAUAAUAAAGCAGGACCUCUGUCCUUUUUUCCCUUCUCACAAGGUAAAUUUGUCAUUUAUUAUUAUCAUCUUUUUAUCACACGAUCGUUCGGGGGCGGGUCAUAUUUGAUCCGGCUCAGCCUGUUCUAAUCCGGCUUACGAUUCUAUUCGAAUCUACCUGUUCAAAAUUAUGGUCACUAGGGGCUUCCUGUUCAAGCAUAGGUCGUAUUCGAACCAAAGAGAACAUAGUUGUCGAUACCCUUUUGAUUGGCACACUGCCGAGCUCACUUGGGGGCUUCUUGAUCGUCUUCGAAUCAUAGCUUAACCCCAUUUGGGAACCGACUUUGAUCGUAUUCGAAUCAGAGUCCUUAAAAAACUCUCAAGGUCAUUAGGGGGCUUCCUGUUCAAACAUAGGUCGUAUUCGAACCAAAGAGAACACAGCUGUCGGUACCCUCUUGAUCGGCGCAAAGCCAAAGCCAUUAGGGGCUACAUGAUCAUAUUUGAAUCCUAGCUUAAACCCCUUCUGGGACGGUUUACUGAUCGUAUUCAAAUCAGCGGCCUUGCCAUUAUUACUUCUCUUUUUGGUUUAAGUUCUCUUUGGAAGCCCCGUUAUUUGGCUUAAAGAUUAUUUCUUGUGGCUUACAACUAUAAAUAUAAUGUUUGCAGCCCGGUUCAAUAUGGACUGAUGAGUCGUCCACCCUUAAACAUAGAUGUACUUUCCAGGUAUCAAAAUAUCUGAUCUUCAUCAUUACUAGCCGGGUCAUAUGAACCGGUGCAGCCAGUGGAAAAUUUUAUUAUAGUUGUGUUUUCAUCAACCAGCUAAUCUAUGUUUCUCACAUUUUUGACCUGACUAGCAGCUUAUUUGAAGAACAGUUUUUCAACAAUGAUCAAACUGUGUGCAUGAACAUAACAAGGCGUCUUAAAAAAAUUACGCAUCAAAAACAUGCACGAUGGCAUGGCCACAACAGAGUUAUCUCUACCCUAUUACAGGACUUAUUAAGUCCAAAUAGUUUGCAUUGUUUUUUAAACACCAGGUGCUAUGUCGCCAUGACAGCUUCACCCUCAAGAUUGGCCGGAAGCGUCCGAGUUAGCCAUCUCCGUGCUUGUGUCCUCCUUUUCCUAGAAGGUUGAUAAUGACCAGUCAAUGUUCUUUAAGGCUUCAAAUUCUCUGCUUCAUCAUCAACAAGACCGAUCGGGUCAACUUCAGGAGCGAAGGUAUGCUUAGGAAUUGGGGGAAUCAGACUCGUCACGUCAUAUUCAGGCAUUGGAAUCCUUCGGUUUUGUUCAUGAUAACCCGCCUGGUACUUGGUAUAAUCCACUUCAGCGGCUAUCAGAGUCGCCACGGGGCGUACCUCUUUGACACAGGCAAGGAAAUCCGCCUCUUCAAAAGACAUGCCAUCUUCCUUGAGAUUUGGAUAACCAAUGGCGAUAUCUUCCGGGUCUAGUUCAGGUAGCCAGGCCUUAGCCCGGAUUAGAGCAUUUACCGCUCCGGCUCUUGCAGCUGACCGUCUCAAUUCAUUGAUCCGUUGCGGAAGAACUGACAGCUUAAUCAAGAACCGUGAUAGGAGGGUUGGCACUUCAUUGGAUAAGGCCACCGAAGCAUGGGUACGUUGUGUCCCGGUGUACAAUUGUUACACCAAGGUAUACACAGCCUUUAACUUCGUAAGUAUAUUGUGGUUUAAAUAUGCGCUUCUGGGGCCUGUACAAAGCAUACUCAGAAAGGUUAAUUUCUGGCACAUACUCUAUUGCCCGGCUUAAGAUAUGUACACAACGGCAAGGCGACUUACCGAAGAUGGGUGCGACCAUUUGUGAAAUAUGGCGCUUUAACCCGGACAAUUCUCCGGUGACUUCUUCAAGAGCCGCUUCUGCUUUCUCAGCCCAGCUUAUCAAUGCGGUCUUCUCAUCCACCCAGGCUUGCUUUUCAGUCUCAAAAUCGUUUUUCAGUUUCUCCUGUUCAGAAACACUGAACUCGAACUUACUGUUGGCCUUCUCAAGUUCUGACUCUUGGAAUUCAAGGUGGCUCUUCAAAUUGGUCACCUUCGAUUCAAGUUGACUCGUGGUAGCCUGUGCAAGUAUAAAAUCAAGUGAGUUAUUUAUGCAGUAUUUAAGUCCCAAGAAUUUUGCCAACAACAUACUUGGCACUUGGGGGCUAAUGUCUUGCAAAGUUUUUUCUGAUCUACGAUGGUUCAUCAUAUGGUGAUUCAUAUGAGUAAGUCCCAAGCAUUUUGUAAACAAUAACACUUGGCACUUGCGGGCUAAUGUAUAUUGCUGUUUAGAAGACCCAUAAGACUUUCUCUAUAAAGAGUCGGCUCGACCAUAUUGGUUAAGCCGCCCAUAGGGGAUUACAUGGUAAGCCGAAAAUUUAUUCUUUUGUUAUAUUGUCAAAUUUAUUUCUAAGUCUACGGCAUAAGUAUCUUAAGCAGCAGACUUGGGGGCUAAUAUACUGAAGGAUAAGGAACAAGACAAAACAAGGUAUACCUCGAAUUUAUGACGCAUUUCCUUCACCAUGUCAAUCUCGAGGGUCCGGCUAUUGUGCACUUGGCUCAUAUAACGAGAGAAGAUAUCUCCAAUACUUAUAUGAGCAUAAUUGGUGACGUCCAUCUUGACUCGGCGCUGGUCUAGAAGUUCUUCCUUGGCGGAGCAUUUGGCCAGUACGGUUGGCCUCCCCGGGUCAACAUGGCCAGUUCCCGUAAUUUCAACAUCUGUGUUGGAAGGAUCAGCCGUCCGGUUUGGGCUUGGAGGUUGAGGAUUUUCUGACCCGGAAGCACCUUGGUCAGUUGGCAGGUCAGUAGGAGGUGAUACAUCUUGUGCUGGUUCAGGUGGCGGUUCAUGAGUGCUUGACUCCGGCACGGUUGUUUGAAGAGCCGGCUCAUCAGUGGCGACUCUCUCAUCAGCCGUCUUAUUUUUUCUACCCCACUUGCUGGGUUUAACUUGAACACUGCAUUCAAAACAAAAGAUUAGUACAGAAGUAAGAAGAUUACAAUAACUACAAAAAGUGAGUGGUUUAGUAUACCCUGGUACCGUCUUGAAAGUCGGCAGAUUGGAUUGCAAUGACUCGCCGGAGGGAGGGGAAGUAUCCUGAUAAUCCGAGUCAGAGGAAUUGAGUGGUUGACGAAAGAGACCCACCAAUGCGUAAAAUUUACUUAAAACGGAGGUAACCUCGUUUCGGCGUUUCCUUGGAGUAUUUGGUAAGCUGGAGGAGAGCUCCGGGUCCUUGCUGGUCCGGGUCUGCCUUCAGCUCUGAUGAAUUUGCCGCUUCAAAAGAAAUUGAGGAUCGUGAUGAGCUAGAGGAUGAGAAAAUCUUACUUUCUGGGUCACUCUGCGGAUUUUCUGUCUUGGCAAAGGCUCGGAGUCGGAGAAAAGGAUAGUUACCUUGUCAGCCUUGCUACGGUUUGUCCCAGUGUCCUCCUGCUGAUGAUAAGUGCCAAUAAGAUGGUUAAAGAAUAAGCCAAGGGAAUCAAGGGCUACCUCUGACUCAGAAGAGUUUGACAGCCGAAGCAAGUCGGAAGCAGUAGCUUUCUUGCCCUUCCUUUGGGCAGCUUCUUUCCUGGCGGCUCUUUUUUCUUUCCUGGCUUUCUUAGCCGCUUCAUGAUCAUAUUUAACCUUCCAAAAUUUGUCACCCGCUUGCAAGGAUUAAGCAUAUUGUGAAUAUAGAUGAAGCAUUAAGAAAAUAAGGUAAACAUUUUUGGGUGUUUUUUGCCUUUGGAGCCGGGUUAUCUUUGCAGAACGGGGCUAGACCCACUUUGCCACAAUCUGCCAGGCUUUCGUUGAGAAGAGAUUUGGUCAUGUCAUCAACAACAUGAACAGGUAAGUCAGCAGGGCUAUGGCGCUGGGGGUCAUUCUUGGCGCCAGUGUAUUCACACAUUAAGAUGGUGCGGUGGCUUAAUGGGAUAACCCGCCAGGCAAGCCAGACUCAAACCAGGUCAAUGCCCGUCAACCCAUUCCCCAAUAGAGCUUUAAUCUUGGCUAUAGUAGGAGAGAGGGAUCUACGUUCUGCGGUGGUAAUCUUGUCGGGCAAGUGAUGAUUAGUGUCAAGCCGGAGGGCACGAAAGUCAGGCAGAGGAUUCUCAUCAGCCGAGGAGGUGUCCUUGCAGUAGAACCACGUCAUGUUCCAAUCUUUGGAUGGCUUGGCAGGUUGGCAUAGGGGGAAAGUGCAUCCCUGCGAUGCUGAAUUGAAAUCCCACCAAGUUCCAAGCUCUGACCGCUGGCACACUCUGUCUGGCGGUUCAAAUAGAACAGUUCUCUGAAAAGUAGCAAGUUUGGUUAUUCACAAAGAUAAACUUCGCUGAACACUUGGAAAUUGCAGAUGUUAGACAUGGAAUUGGGUCCAAUGUCUUGUGGGCGAAGGUCAAAAAACUUCAGCACGUCUCUGAAAUUUUUUGAACCAGGAGGCGUGAAACCCCGGUUCAUAUGAUCGGUGAAGACGACCACCUCUCCGUCUUUGGGUUGAGGGAUUUCUUCGUCCAGGUGAGGAGCACGGUAAGGCAUGACUUCUUUCUUGGGAAGAUAGUGGUUUUGACGAAGUCAUCUAAAGUGUUGUCAGUGACAAUGGAUUUCACCCAAUUGCAAGUGGUAGGUGCGUUGGGCGCCAUUAUGUUUGAAAUCCUAGAUGCAAGAUAAAUAAGGCCGGUUCAAAUUUAAGCCGGGCAGGAAAAAUAUUGUUGGAAUGAACUAUGGCGACUUAUGAAGGGGCCUAAUGGUAUAAGGAUAUUUCUAUCCGGGUUACGUAAGCCGCCAUAGGUGUUUUAAAGCCAUCAGUGUUGUUUCAACUAACAGGGGAAGAUUCAGAUUAUCAUUUUCUUAAGCCGGUAGUCAGAGCCGCCAUGACUAGCAAGUUUAACAACAUAUGGAUUUUUCCUAAGUGUAGGACAAAGAAGUUUCACAGUUUGCUGUAAUUAUUUUGGAUCAAACAAAGGUUCAGAAAAGAAAUAUUUCUAGACCUAGAAACAUGGUACAGGGGAGUUUAUGCGUUCUAAUGAGGAUUCUUUACAAAGAAGAAGGAUCUGCUAGUGCCUAAAAUGGAUGCGGAACAGCUACCGCAUGAGAUCUAUGCUACUGUUGGAUCAGAAGAAGCCGCGACAGAAGAAACACGAAAACUGAGAUGAACUAUGAAUUGUACAAAGGAACCCGCUAACCCUAGCAUGGAUCUAAGAUGUAGAAAGGGGAAAACUUACAGUGAUAGAUCUGUUGCGGAGGGGCGCCGCCGUUCUCUGGACGGAUUCAGGUUGAUGCAGUGGCCAAAGUCGACGGAGACAAAGGUGCGCUGCGGCGGCAGCGGAGCUCGAGCGACAGUAGGGGCAGGAGGAAGAAGAUGGGGAACGGAGAGUGAGAGGAGACCUAGUCAGGUCUAUUUAUAAGGAAAAAACUGUGAAGUGGGCAUGAAAAACGAGGAGGCCGAAAAAACAUAAUUCUCCAACUAGAAAGGCGCCUCGAUUUUUGGAUGGUCAUUAAGACAAAGAUCCAUUGAGAUGUGUUGGACAAAGCGUGCAUGUAUGACAGGUGACGUCAUGGCGGGUUACCACAAAUUUGAAGGAUGACGUCAUGGCGGGUUAUAUGAAUCUUCUCAAAUAAGUGGCGGAGAAUUUUUUUUCUUAAGUAUUGAAGACUGACGUGAACAGGGGGCUCCGGUGGGGGAAUGGAGGGGCUGGGGCUACGAGGAGGCUCUCCGGAGUGCGGCGCAUCCAUUCAGGGUGCGCACGGGGCUCAGGGGUUGUAGGGUACUGUGUCCGACGACGGCAACGAGGAAGGAAACGAAGGGGGAAACGGGCCCAGGCGCACGGCGACGAUGAAGCUGAGCUGGUUGAGAAGCUUGGAUGAGCCAGAGCCAACCGAAGCAGCUCCACUGUGGCCAACAGUGCGCAAACCACCGAUUUGGCUGGCACUGCCCGUGGUCACCACCGACAAUGCAUGCUCUGGUCGUCUACUUAGUGCCAAAUGAUGUCUACAGCGUAGUCUUUCCAAAGCUAAUUAAGAAUGAGGUGACGGAAAGAGCAAACGUGUAGAGCAAAGAGGGAACCAGGCUCGACAAGUUUGCUGUAGCAAACUUGGCCACAUCCUGGUGAUCAAACCAGAGAGGUUAAGGAUAAACUUGAUGUCGUGGAGGUUUAGUCUAGAAAGGACUAUGGUCCUGGGAAGUUGGAGGGGAUUAGGACAAAGAUUUAGCAUAGUUGCAGUGCAAUAGCCAAAUCUGGUCUAGAAAACAAAUGAUGAAGAAGCACUCACUAGGAGUGUUAGAUAGAGCUACCACUUGACAAUUCCUCAUGAUUUGGUCAUAUAUAGAUGCUGCAAAAAGAUCAUACCAAUGGACUUUCCAAAUUGGUACUUGUUCCACAAGCAUCACUUUUGACCAGAAACUUGAGAAAGUUCUAGGAAAAUAUUGGCUACAUGAAAUGAGCCAAACUCUUGGGUAGAUGGGUUUUAUGGAUAGGAGAAGGCUUGGAAUUAUUUUCAGCCAUAAUGAAGCAAUAUAAAAUAUACUUGCUUCACAAACUGAAAAUUUGGACAGAAAGCAAGAAUUGCUCCUAUGCUCACAUGGAUCAAGGAAAUGAGCUGAAUUUGGGUGGAGGAUAAUUAUUUGGGAUACUUGAGAGGAUUCAAAGUUUCAUCCCAUUUGGAAACUCCAUGAAGGUACUUCCUUCACAAAGUUGCAUUCUGGUCAGAAACUUUGAAAAAUUGCACUGGGAGCUAGGAUAAAUGGAUUGAGAUCAUAUUUGCUAUUCGUGGGUGACUUAUCAAGGUUAAUCACCCUGCCAAUUUGCAGCUCAAUUGGAAUUAGUAAUAAAGCACUUCCUUUGCAAAAUUUCAGAGAAGGCAGAAACUUGCAUUGGAUCAUGUGCCAAAUUUUUGAACUGUGGGACAUGAGAUAAAAAUGGAACUAGUGAUUGUAUAGCAAGGACAAGCUCCACAAUUUAUGUGGGAAUUUUCCUUGCUAUAAAAAUAGAAGUUCCUUUGGAAAGUGGCAGAAAUGCAAUAUUGGUAUUAAAUAGGAAAAGGCAAUUUUCCAUAUUUAAUUAUGGCCAAUAUCUUUGCCAGAGCUUGGAUUAGACAUAAAUCUCAACUCCACCAAUUCUCAUGAAUUUAGGAGAGGACUAGAUAUGCCUUAGGAUUUUAUUUCUCAGAAAGGUAGGAAAAGGAAUAAGUCAUAAUUCAAAAAUAUUGCCUUGGACUUAGCAAUAUUUUUGCAUACCCAAGGAUUAGGAGGAUAGGAGGGUCUGUGGGAACAGAUGGGAUGAUCAACAGAUCAUGGAAAAUGAUGGCUCCUUUGUAAUCACAAAGGCCACAUUCAAAUUCCAAAAAUUGGAAUUAGGGUUUGAGAGGAUUUGAGCUGAUGCAGAAGCGGGCUUGCCCACUGAAAAAAGACAUGAGCAAGUUUUGAAAGGUUGGAAAAGACAAAAUUUCUCAGGGUCAUCCAGCAAACUCGAGAGAAAAUUUUGAAAAUGAGUGCCAGGAAGGAAUAACAGCACAAAAAUUGAUAACCCAAUUUUGGGGCUGUUACAAACCUUCCCCCCUUAAAAAGAAUCUCGUCCUCGAGAUUCCUAGGGUUACAGCACAAUUGCAAAGAUAACUACUCCGGGGAAAACCUCGGGGUAAAUUUUGAACCCUUCGGUCAGAUUUCAACAAGUUGGGGUACCCAUAGUUGGUAUACCUAGGGAGGGAUAUGGGGAAACACGGUUAUAUCCACGGCUAGGGGCACUCGAGAUCAGACUCCUGAAAAAUGCUGGAUGCACCCCAAUGAACAAUGGUUUCACCUGCUAACACGUGGGUCCAGGGCCCACUGGUAUCCUCCUUCUACCUCCGGCUAGCUUCUUCUUCGGUGCUGCUGCUUUGCGUGCGGCUGGGUGCAGCGCGCAUCUAGCCCCUAGGGCGAUAAUGACCCUAGUGUCAUAGUGCGCGGCGUGCACGCCGCCGGUGCAGCGAGCACUCACGUCGUGGGCCAGCACCUUGUCGGCACUGCUCGCGGAUUCGCCUCCUGUAUGCUGGUGAUCGAGCGACGAGCGGUUCUCCUGGACCUCGCUCAUCAUACACCGGAGUUGGGCUAUAAAAACGGCAGCGGGGCUCUCCUCCAACGCACAAACACAAUGCCGCUCUACUACCUAUUCGGUUUGGAUGAGAUCAAGCCAAGCUCCUUCGGCGAGGCGAUGUUCCUAGUGGCGCUGCAGUGGUUCCUAGCUGCACCGUUGGGCAUGUUGAUUGGCUCAUCGAUCCUCCUGCUGACGAUCAUUAGGUACGAGCGAGCUCGAGGCAACACGCGGCCAAGUACGGUGACUCGAGGUGUGGAAGAAGAUGGUGCACAGGGUGGUCCUCCGCCACGCUUGAUCCUCCGUCGCUUUGCACCGGCGGAGUAAUCGCGUGCUACGGUGGAGCGGGGUGGUGACUUGUCACGCAAGGCAGAGGCGAGCGUGGUGGUGUGGUCCAGAUACAGGUGAAGUGGCUGCGCCAGCUCAGGAAUCAUGCUGGGUUACGGGAAAAAUUCCGUGGAUAGCUCCAUGAAAAGUAGGUGUCGAGGUAGAAUCGAGGUUGAAAUUUGUAUCGGGGAGUUGUACUAGAUCGAGUGAAAUAAACUGGCAGCGUUUCUCUGGAAACACCAUUGGGGCUAACGCAAAAGAAUUAGUGACGAGAAAUGGCUAGAUGGAAAUGCCUCUUCGAGGCUCUGGGUUUGGAAAAUCUGGCACACGGGGUGUGCACAGAUAGAGAGGGAUAUGUGACUUUGCAUUCCCCCGAGUACUACCCUAAGUGUACUCAUGGGGGAACCGAGUAUGCGUGCAGUAUGCAAUAUAUAUAAUCUAUACUAUCAAACAGACAGAUGCAAUAAACACGCAAUGAAAAGCCCAUCAAACAAAUCAUCCUAAGGUGUUUUAAUGCUAGUGGGUAUAUGUAAUCCUGGUAUACAUAUACCUACACCAGCGCGCAUUUUUAUUAGAGACUCGCGACGAGUCAAUGUUGUUUUUAGUGUAUGUGUCAUACUGAUUAAAAUCUUGUUAGCACACAUUGCCAACCCUGUCAAACAUCUCUGUUUGACAAAGAGACAAACAAAACAAGCAUGAAAGCAAAAGCACAAAAACAAACAUAGAACACAACAUACGGAUUACAACAGUACUAACAUACAACAAAGCAGGAACCUUCUAUGCGCUAAACGAAACUACUCACUCCGGGAUACAUAGUUCUAUCCUCAUAUCGAGGAUGAACAGGCUGACUGACCUACUCGCAGAAGCAACUACUGGCGCGACCAAGGUCAAGCUGACGGCUGGCCUUGCUGGGGCUCUCCUGGAGGACGAAGACUGAGCCAAUCUCCAUCUUCAUCGUCCGACAUCACUAUGGGUUGGGGUUCGACUACUGGGGUUGUGGCUGAAAUCGAUCCAAGCAAAUGCUGCUAGUGGAUGCGUAAAAGAGCCUUGUCGAGGGUGACGAUGUUGGGUCUAGGCCACAACACAAACUGAGAGGGUAGCAGUGGCUCGGAUGGCGUUGGGUGAGCGGCUUGAGAUGUGAAUUUACGAGCCUCACGAUAAGCUUCCUCGAAAACUGGUACCGCACCGUUGUCCAGGGUUCUAAACUCGGCAAGCAUCUUGGAAAUCAUCAUCCCCUGGGCAGUGAUAUAUUGCACCAGGCGAGCGAUUGCGGGGUCAUCUCCUUGGAUAGCGGGAGAAGGCUGAAUUUCUGUUGCUGCCACAAUGGGGGAAAGCAGAACUCCCACCUCUCUGCCACCUGCGGAAACUUGGUUUGGAGGUAUAGGAUAGCUUCCACAGCAGCAACCUGAAUGGCUAAAUCAGCGGUAGGCAUGGCUCUACCCUGAAAAACCAAAGGCUGGCCAUCUACUGCGGAGCCUGGGCCGAUGCGCACCCUUGCAUCAUAGCGGUGAAGGUGGGGGACGGGUGUUGAAUGGAACACCAGGUAAUCAGGGCUAGCAUUAUGGCCAAACGCUUUGGUGAGCAUCUCGGCAAGAAGGGGUGGAAAGCCGGGGUGGUUGACGGCAAAGGUGCGGCUGUGAAACUUGGGAGCUUUGAAGGUGCUAGCCAUGGCUGGAGUGUUAAUAGCUAGGCUUCUCUGCAAGGACAUGGCUCAGUGAGGGUGUGCGCGAUAUGGCUAGCGGAAAUGGGAUUUUAUUGGUAGCUAUGCGGGACAUGCCCGCAUGGUGUGGUCCCUUUCCCUUAAUGGUGAAGGGAAAGAGGUGCGGCCGACCAGAAAGGAUAGAGUUGCUAUUCAAUCCACGGAUAACUAGGCGGGGACAGCAGGGUGAGGACGUGUCGGUCCCGGCUGCGCCAUGUGUUGCUUAACAGUGGCCAUGCCGGAUGUCAGGGAUGGGUCAAAUCCUUAGGGUCAUUAUGGGUUGAUGGUAGCGGUUAUCUAAUGCUAGGAUAACCUAUGCCAGCCUGGCUGCUCUGAUACCAUCUCCUGUGGCACCCCGAUCCGCAUGGAGCAGGGGGCCUUUGCACGUCAACCUAGGAUGACACCUGAUGCACGACAGGUCCAUGAUACAACAUUCCAGGUACAAUAAUAUUCAUCAAAUACAUGUGUAUACGAAUACAUCAUUGAUGAAUACAAUUAUCUGGCAUAGCCCUAAGGCUAUUUAAAUGGCAGCGGAAGUCCAUUUAAAUGGCGGCGGAAGUCUUGGUUUGGCAGCUGCAACUCUGGCUAGGCUCCACAACUCAUAGGACUGGCAAGAUUACGGCCUAGCAAGACGGAACAAUCGAACAAGUUGCGCACGACCUACAAAACUGGCAUGACACGCCAGGUCAGUACAUUGAAUGUACUUGCAAGACAAUCAAAUACAUAGCAUCCAAACAAACAUAUGACAAUGCCAGAACCAAGCAUAUGCAACAACCUACCUCAUAGCAGAAACUAAGCAUGGCAAUGGCAUAUCAAACUUACUCCUAACAUGGCUACAGCAAAACAUAGCAUGACAUUUGUAUCAUAACAUGGCAUAUCAAAUCAUGGCAUAAAUCCAGUCAAAGCAUGGCAUGGCAUCAUCAUACUAUGCUGAAAAUAAACUACCAGUCAUAUCCGAUGCAAACAUAACAUGUUAACUUCAUGCAACCAUCUACUAUUCUACCAUGGUUCUUUAAAUGCAAAUAACAACUGACUACUCAUGCAAUGCAAACAAAAUGUGCACCGAGUCCCUCAGACUCUCUUACCCGUGGGUUGCCUCACAACCAAGUGAUGAUCAUGCAUGGAUCACCAAUGGAACCACACUUGGUUCAACACUCACCGAGACCUUGUCUCGUGAUCAUACCAACUCAUCAUCGUGAUUAAUCACAACUGUCUCAUAGUCCAAUUCAUCACAUUAUUUCACAUUAUUCAUCAACUUGGUUAUAUUAGGUUUAUCCUCCAUUUCUACCGAGACCUGAUAGUGUGACCUACUACGAACCUGUGCCCAUGACCGAGGACGUGGCUAUCGAUAGAUUUAACAAACACACUCUGCAGAGGUAGCGCACUGUACCCACACCACGAAACCCAUGGCCUCGCACUCCAUUCGGGUGGACCAACGGUGUUCCGACAAAACCGAUCUAUUGCCAUGACACUCCACUAGUAGAAAAGGGGGCAAUGGUCUAGGCCAGGCCAGCCCAUUAGUCCCGGUUCAGUCCAGAACCGGGACCCAUGGGGGCAUUGGACCCGGUUCGUGAGCCCCGGGGGCCGGACGGGCCAUGUGGGCCAUUGGUCCCGGUUCGUCUGGACCUUUUUGUCCCGGUUGGUGGCAUGAACCGGGACCAAAGGCUGCCCUUUAGUCCCGGUUCAUGCCAGGAACCGGGACCAAUUAAUUGCCUAUACCCCUUGCCUGCGAGCAGAGCACUCCCACUGCUCUGUUUUUCCUGGCCGUCGAGGAGAGAGCUUUGUGGUGCUCUAGCUCACCUCCUAUGCACACGAGGUGUUCGAUGGAAUGCCCGAGCCACACUACUUAAGCUUUCUCCACUCCUAGCUCGACCUCCAAGCUCCAUUUUCCUCAAUAUUUGUCUAGGUUUAGCGGUCUGUCACGUCCCGUCCCCGUCUUCACCGCCGUCGAUCGCCCGCGCCGAUCUCGUCGCCGGCACCACCAUGGUGAGCCUCAUGUUCUUAUCUUCUUUCUGAAAGGAAAAAAAUUCUUACUUGUAUGUUUAUAUAGAUACUUGUAUAAUUUUCUUACUUUUAUUAUUGCAUCUUAUAUAGUGCGAUGGUUUUGGUAUCCGCCCCCGUCGGCCCUCAUCCUGUCUAUGAUUCGGAUGUGGUAUAUAUUAUCUUUUCAUAACUAUUGGUUCACUUAUUGUUUAUGACAAUUAUGCCGACCAACGUGACAUAGAUUUUAUUUAUCUAGGAGGUUGUUGAACCGGAAAUUCCAACCGACCCUAUUGUCGAGAGGUUAAAUUUAGUUGAAGAAGAAAAAAAAUUCUUGAAGGAAAAAAUAAGAAAAAUUGAGGAGGAGGAGAUGAUAUUGGAGUUGCAUGUUGCGGAUGUCAUUGAUGAUCACACGAUCAAGAUGGAUGCAAUGCGCUUGAAGAUUAGAAAGAUUAGAAAAUAUGCCAUUCAUACCGAGGCUUGGUAUCAUUAUGUCGUUGGAUCAGUUGUUACAUUGGUUGCGAUUAUGAUCGCAUUUGUUUUCGCAUUGAAAUGUUUUACAUAGUUUCAAUGUAUGGUUUAAUUAAUUUAGAUGCUCUGCAGAGCUUUAUGUCGUUAGAUGAGAACUAUGUAUGUACUUUGGUUUUAAUGUGAUGAUGAACUUCUAUUAAUUUGGUCACUUAAUUAUCUAUUCAUGAUGUUCUAUAAUGAUUUUUGACACACCUACUUAUAUAUAAUGCACGCAGAUGAGCCGGCAAUGGAUGUAUGGUUCAAGACACACCUCCGAGUACAUUAAGGGCGUGCAUGAUUUUCUCGAAGUGGCUGAGGCAAACAAGCAGAAUGGUUUUAUGUGUUGUCCAUGCCCUAUAUGUGGGAAUACGAAGUCCUACAAUGACCGGAAAAUCCUUCACACCCACCUGCUUUACAAGGGCUUCAUGCCACACUAUAAUGUUUGGAGGAGGCACGGAGAAAUAGGGUUAUGAUGGAAGACGGCGAAGAAGAAGAGUACGAUGACAACUAUGUGCCCCCUGAAUACGGUGAUGCUACUGAAGAUCAAGAGGAACCAGACGAUGUGCACGAUGAUGUUGUAACGGGGGAAGCUGCUGAAGAUCAAGAGGAACCAGACGAUGUGACCGAUGAUGAUGAUCUCCGCCGGGUCAUUGUCGAUGCAAGGACGCAAUGCGAAAGUCAAAAGGAGAAGCUGAAGUUCGCUCACAUGUUAGAGGACCACAAAAAAGGGUUGUACCCCAAUUGCGAAGAUGGCAACACAAAGCUUGGUACCGUACUGGAAUUGUUGCAGUGGAAGGCAGAGAAUGAUGUGCCUGACAAAGUAUUUGAGAAGCUACUGAAAAUAUUGAAGAAGAAGCUUCCAAAGGAUAACGAAUUGCCUGAUAGUACAUACGCAUCAAAGAAGGUCGUAUGCCCUCUAGGAUUGGAGGUGCAGAAGAUACAUGCAUGCCCUAAUGACUGCAUCCUCUACCGCGGUGCGUACAAGGAUCUAAACGCAUGCCCGGUAUGCUGUGCAUUACGGUAUAAGAUGAGAAGAGAUGACCCUGGUGAUGUUGACAGCGAGCCCCCCAGGAAGAGGGUUCCUGCGAAGGUGAUGUGGUAUGCUCCUAUAAUACCACGGUUGAAACGACUGUUCGGAAACGGAGAGCAUGCCAAGUUGAUGCGAUGGCAAAGUGAGGACCGUAAGAAAGACGGGAAGUUGAGAGCACCCGCUGACAAAUCACAGUGGAGAAAAAUUGAGAGAAAGUACUGGGAUGAGUUUGCAAGUGACCCAAGGAACGUAUGGUUUGCUUUAAGUGUGGAUGGCAUUAAUCCUUUCGGGAAGCAGAGCAGCAAUCACAGCACCUGGCCCGUGACUCUAUGUAUGUAUAACCUUCCUCCUUGGAUGUGCAUGAAGCGGAAGUUCAUUAUGAUGCCAGUUCUCAUCCAAGGCCCUAAGCAACCCGGCAAGGACAUUGAUGUGUACCUAAGGCCAUUAGUUGAAGAACUUUUGCAGCUGUGGAAUGGAAACGGUGUACGUACGUGGGAUGAGCACAAAUAGGAGGAAUUUGACCUAAAGGCGUUGCUAUUCAUGACCAUCAACGAUUGGCCCGCUCUUAGUAACCUUUCAGGAGAGACAAACAAGGGAUACCACGCAUGCACACACUGUUUACUUGACACUGAUAGUAUAUACCUGGGAAGUUGCAGGAAGAAUGUGUACCUGGGCCAUCGUCGAUUUCUUCCGACCAACCAUCAAUGUCGAAAGAAAGGCAAGCAUUUCAAAGGUGAGGCAGAUCACCGGAAGAAGCCCGCCAUCCGUACCGGUGAUCACGUACUUUCUAUGGUCAAUGAUUUACACGUAAUAUUUAGAAAGGGUCCCGACACACUAGCUGUUCUGAAUGACGCUGAGGGACAUGCACCCAUGUGGAAGAAGAAAUCUAUAUUUUGGGACCUACCCUAUUGGAAAGACCUAGAGGUCCGCUCUUCAAUUGACGUGAUGCACGUGACGAAGAACCUUUGCGUGAACCUGCUAGGCUUCUUGGGCGUGUAUGGAAAGACAAAAGAUACAACUGAGGCACGGGAGGACCUGCAACGUUUGCACGAAAAAGACGACAUGCCUCCAAAGCAGUAUGAAGGUCCUGCUAGCUAUGCUCUUACCAAAGAAGAGAAGGAAAUCUUCUUUGAAUGUGUGCUUAGUAUGAAGGUCCCGACUGGCUUCUCGUCGAAUAUAAAGGGAAUAAUAAAUAUGGCAGAGAAAAAGUUUCAGAACCUAAAGUCUCAUGACUGCCACGUGAUUAUGACGCAACUGCUUCCGGUUGCAUUGAGGGGGCUUCUACCGGAAAACGUCCGAUUAGCCAUUGUGAAGCUAUGUGCAUUCCUCAAUGCAAUCUCUCAGAAGGUGAUCGACCCAGAAAUCAUACCAAGGCUAAGGAGUGAUGUGGUGCAAUGUCUUGUCAGUUUCGAGCUGGUGUUCCCACCAUCCUUCUUCAAUAUCAUGACGCACGUCCUAGUUCAUCUAGUUGACAAGAUUGUCAUUCUGGGCCCGUAUUUCUACACAAUAUGUACCCCUUUGAGAGGUUCAUGGGAGUCCUAAAGAAAUAUGUCCGUAACCGCGCUAGGCCAGAAGGAAGCAUCUCCAUGGGUCAUCAAACAGAGGAUGUCAUCGGGUUUUGUGUUGACUUCAUUCCUGGCCUUAAGAAGAUAGGUCUCCCUAAAUCGCGGUAUGAGGGGAGACUGACUGGAUAAGGCACGCUUGGAAGGGACUCAAUAAUAUGCAGGGACGGAUAUUCUUGGUCUCAAGCACACUACACAGUUCUACAGAACUCUACCUUGGUGACCCCGUAUAUUGAUGAACACGAGAACAGUCUGCCUUCCAAACACCCGGAGCAGUGCGACGACUGGAUUACAUGUGAACACAUCACGACUUUCAGUAGUUGGUUGGAAACACGUCUCAGAGGUGACAACACUGUUUGUGAUGAGCUGUACUUGUUGUCCAGGGGACCAUCUUCGACUGUUACAAUUUGGAAAGGAUACGGGAUAAAUGGGAAUAUAUUUUACAUGAUUGACCAAGAUCAAAAGAGCACCAACCAAAACAACGGUGUCCGCUUUGAUGCAACAACCGAGAGGGGAAAGGACACAUAUUAUGGUUACAUAGUGGACAUAUGGGAACUUGACUACGAACAUGAUUUUAAGGUCCCUUUGUUUAAGUGCAAAUGGGUCAAUCUGUUAGGAGGCAGGGUACAGGUAGACCCACCGUACGGAAUGACAAGAGUGGAUCUGAAAAAUCUUGGGUACACUGACGAACCGUUCGUCCUAGCCAAUGAUGUGGCACGGGUUAUCUAAGUGAAGGACAUGUCUACCAGACCGAGAAAAAGAAAAGAUAAGGAAGCGAAUACAUCAUACGAUGAGCCAAAGCGCCACAUAGUUCUUUCAGGAAAAAGGGACUUCGUGGUAGUGGAGGGCUGACCCCAGCAUCCUGAUAAACGAUGAAGAUUAUCCAUGGUUACGGCGCAAUAAGCAAAUGACACAAGCGAAGAAAAAGUGAAGACUUUCUCCCGCAACUAUUAUGAUGAUACCAUGCCAACUUUGUAACAGACGAGUAUGAUACCAUUGUCCGUUUUGUACAUGCACAUGCUAUGUGGGUGAAUUUAUGAUACCAUGCCAUCUUUCAACUUUUCAGAGUUCAUUUGAAAACUAAUGGCACUAACAGAAAGUUUAUAAUUUUUCUAAAACUAAAAGAAAAAAAGAAUUAAAAAUAGAGCAACAAACAAAAGAAAAUAAAUAAUGCAGAAAACAACACCAAAAAACAGGAAAAAAAUAAAAAAUAGCAACAAUAAGUAUUUUGUUGUAAGUAGAAACAAAAUAAAAUAAAUAAAGCAAGAAAGAAAACAAAAAAAGUGUUUUCAAAUUUGAAAACUAAUGGCACUAACGGNNNNNNNNNNNNNNNNNNNNNNNNNNNNNNNNNNNNNNNNNNNNNNNNNNNNNNNNNNNNNNNNNNNNNNNNNNNNNNNNNNNNNNNNNNNNNNNNNNNNNNNNNNNNNNNNNNNNNNNNNNNNNNNNNNNNNNNNNNNNNNNNNNNNNNNNNNNNNNNNNNNNNNNNNNNNNNNNNNNNNNNNNNNNNNNNNNNNNNNNNNNNNNUGCAGAAAACAAAACAAAAAAUGGAAAAAAUAGCAACAAUAAGUAUUUUGUUGUAAGUAGAAACAAAAUAAAAUAAAUAAAGCAAGAAAGAAAACAAAAAAAAGUGUUUUCAAAUUUAAAAACUAAUGGCACUAACAGAAAUUUUAUAAUUUUUCUAAAACUAAAAGCAAAAAGAAUUAAAAAAUAAAGCAAAAAAUAAAAUAAAAUAAAUAAUGCAAAAAACAAAAAAAACUGGAAAAAAACAAAAAAAUUGCCACCUAUUGGGCCACCACGGCCUGAAUACUACUAGAAACCCAACCUGGGCCAGGAUUCAGGCCCGCAGAAGGCCCAAUAGGCCCACAACAGCAUAGUGUGAGAUUAGGCCCGAAAUCCUGCAGUUGAUAGGAGCUCGAGAGGGUGGGCGCAACAGCGCUUAUAAACCACUCUCGAGCCCUCUCAACUAGCGAGGUGGGACUAAACUUUCGCCGCGCUGCGGGCAGCACAGGGGCCUUUGGUCCUGGUUGGUGGAACCAACCGGGACUAAAGGGAGGCAUUGGUAUCGGUUCGUGGCACCAACCGGGACCAAUGUCCCCCCUUUAGUCCCAGUUGGUGCCACCAACCGGGACCAAAGGCCGCCGCUUCCCGCCCUUUGGACUGCUGAAAAUAGGCCUUUGGUCCCGGUCGUUGGCACCAACCGGGACUAAAGGGGUGCAUUAGUCCCGGUUGGUUUCAUGAACCGGGACCAAUGCUCUUGCUAUAUAUACAGCACUUAGCAGUUUCGACCAAAUCCCCCACUUCUCCCCCUGCGCCCCUGCUCCUCCUCGUCGCCGUCGCCGCCCGACACCCCUGCUCCACCUUGUCGUCGCCGCCGCCCCCGACGCUGUCAGGCUGCUAGCCUUCGCCGUCGCCGCCGCCCCCUGUGAGCACAGCCUGCUCCCACGCCCCUCCCGUCUUGCGCCCCUGCGCGGCCGCCGCGUCGCAGCCCCUGCCCGGCGCGGCCGCCGCGCCGCCGCCCCUNNNNNNNNNNNNNNNNNNNNNNNNNNNNNNNNNNNNNNNNNNNNNNNNNNNNNNNNNNNNNNNNNNNNNNNNNNNNNNNNNNNNNNNNNNNNNNNNNNNNNNNNNNNNNNNNNNNNNNNNNNNNNNNNNNNNNNNNNNNNNNNNNNNNNNNNNNNNNNNNNNNNNNNNNNNNNNNNNNNNNNNNNNNNNNNNNNNNNNNNNNNNNNNNNNNNNNNNNNNNNNNNNNNNNNNNNNNNNNNNNNNNNNNNNNNNNNNNNNNNNNNNNNNNNNNNNNNNNNNNNNNNNNNNNNNNNNNNNNNNNNNNNNNNNNNNNNNNNNNNNNNNNNNNNNNNNNNNNNNNNNNNNNNNNNNNNNNNNNNNNNNNNNNNNNNNNNNNNNNNNNNNNNNNNNNNNNNNNNNNNNNNNNNNNNNNNNNNNNNNNNNNNNNNNNNNNNNNNNNNNNNNNNNNNNNNNNNNNNNNNNNNNNNNNNNNNNNNNNNNNNNNNNNNNNNNNNNNNNNNNNNNNNNNNNNNNNNNNNNNNNNNNNNNNNNNNNNNNNNNNNNNNNNNNNNNNNNNNNNNNNNNNNNNNNNNNNNNNNNNNNNNNNNNNNNNNNNNNNNNNNNNNNNNNNNNNNNNNNNNNNNNNNNNNNNNNNNNNNNNNNNNNNNNNNNNNNNNNNNNNNNNNNNNNNNNNNNNNNNNNNNNNNNNNNNNNNNNNNNNNNNNNNNNNNNNNNNNNNNNNNNNNNNNNNNNNNNNNNNNNNNNNNNNNNNNNNNNNNNNNNNNNNNNNNNNNNNNNNNNNNNNNNNNNNNNNNNNNNNNNNNNNNNNNNNNNNNNNNNNNNNNNNNNNNNNNNNNNNNNNNNNNNNNNNNNNNNNNNAAGAAGAAAAAAUAGAAAAAAUUUCUAUUUUUUCUUCUUCUCCUCUAUUCCUUUCUUCUUCUCCUCUUCUUUUUCUUAUUUCUAUUUUUUCUUCUUCUCCUCUAUUCCUUUCUUCUUCUCCUCUUCUUUUUCUUCUUUUUUCCUCUUCUUUUCUAUUUUUUAUUCUUAUCCUCUAUUCCUUUCUUCUUCUCCUCUUCUUUUUCUUCUUUUUUUCUCUUCUUAUUAUUUAUUUCUCCUCUUCUUCUCCUUUCUUCCUCUUCUUAUUUUCUUUUUCCUCUCCUUCUUUUUCUUCAUCUUCGAUCUCCUUCUUCCUUCUUCCUCUUUUCUUCCUUUUCCUUAUUUUCCUUUCUUGAGGGAGAAGAAGAAAAAGAAGAGGAGAAGAAGAAGAAGAAAGGAAUAGAGGAGAAAGAAGAAACUUCAACACGAGGGGGGGGGGUACCGAUACCCCCUCCCCGAUAACAUUAUUUUCCCAUGUAUAUGUAUGUCGCGUCGUUGUCGAUACAACCCCCUCCCGGAUAACUUCGACAUGAGGGGCAGUCGAUAUAUAUGCCCCCUCUCGACCGUGAUAACUUAUACCACGGCAGCACCCCCCUCGGCCCUCUCGCUCGACCAAAACUCUCGAGGACACCCAAACCCUAGAGAGAAAACGAUGUUGGUCUCCUAUCCCCUCCCGCCGCGCCCCUACCCGACAAAUUAACUCUCUCGAGGCCACCCAAAUUUACCAAGUUAAAAGAGCGUUGUCAUCGAGGCCACCCCAAACCCUUGAAGCGUUGUGUCGAGGCCACCCCAAACCCUAGAGAAGCAGCGUCGAGGCCACUAACAUGAUUCCUUAUUGUGAUUAGCUAGCUAGUUAUACGUUUGCCACUAAUAUAUAUCCAUCUGUACCAUGUUUGAAUAAUAAUUUACAUGUUGUAAAUAUUUACAGAAACUAUGGAGCACUCCCGAGACGAAGCAACAGAAGCGAUGUUGGGGGACAUAAUCAUACAAGGAAGUGAUGUCGUUGCGUCAUUUCUCAACGACACCGAUGGUCAGGAAGGACUGGGUGAAGAAGAGGGCUAUGUUCAUGAUGGCUCCGGGCCAUUAAUGCCGGUACAAGAAGAGGGCUAUGUUCNNNNNNNNNNNNNNNNNNNNNNNNNNNNNNNNNNNNNNNNNNNNNNNNNNNNNNNNNNNNNNNNNNNNNNNNNNNNNNNNNNNNNNNNNNNNNNNNNNNNNNNNNNNNNNNNNNNNNNNNNNNNNNNNNNNNNNNNNNNNNNNNNNNNNNNNNNNNNNNNNNNNNNNNNNNNNNNNNNNNNNNNNNNNNNNNNNNNNNNNNNNNNNNNNNNNNNNNNNNNNNNNNNNNNNNNNNNNNNNNNNNNNNNNUAUAUAUAUAUAUAUAUAUAUAUAUAUAUAUAUAUAUAUAUAUAUAUAUAUAUAUAUAUUAGUCAAGCCCAUGCUGACUAGUUAAUUGAUGCAUCCAUUGUUUUGGUAUAUGUACACAUAUUAAUUAACUCUUGUCUUUCUUCCUUUUUCUAGCCCUCCGGAUCGAGCACAACUUCGGUAAGGAGACGAGGCCCGAAGAAAAAGUUGAGCUCAGAUGAAAGGUGAAAGAUCGAGGAUGUCGCCUAGAGGGGGGGUGAAUAGGUGCUUUAAAAUAAUUACGGUUUAGGCUUGAACAAAUGCGGAAUAAACCUAGCGGUUAAUUUGUCAAGCACAAAACCUAUAACAACUAGGCUCACCUAUGUGCACCAACAACUUUUGCUAAGCAAGAUAAGCAACUAUGUGAUAGCAAGAUAUAUGACAAAGAACAAUAUGGCUAUCACAAAGUAAAGUGCAUAAGUAAAGGGGCUCGGGUAAGAGAUAACUGAGGCACGCGGAGACGACGAUGUAUCCCGAAGUUCACACCCUUGCGGAUGCUAAUCUCCGUUUGGAGCGGUGUGGAGGCACAAUGCUCCCCAAGAAGCCACUAGGGCCACCGUAAUCUCCUCACGCCCUCGCACAAUGCAAGAUGCCGUGAUUCCACUAAGGGACCCCUGAAGGCGGUCACCGAACCCGUACAAAUGGCGACCCUUGGGGGCGGUCACCGAACCCGUACACUUUGGCAACCCUUGGGGGCGGUCACCAGAACCCAUCAAAUUGCUCGGGGCGAUCUCCACAACCUAAUUGGAGACCCCGACGCUUGCCCGGAGCUUUACACCACAAUGAUUGAGCUCCGAACACCACCAACCGUCUAGGGCGCCCAAGCACCCAAGAGGAACAAGCUCAAGGGCACCAAGCACCCAAGAUUAAUAAGCUUCUCAACUUGUAACUUCCACGUAUCACCGUGGAGAACUCAAACCGAUGCACCAAAUGCAAUGGCAAGGGCACACGGAGUGCCCAAGUCCUUCUCUCUCAAAUCCCACCGAAGCAACUAAUGCUAGGGAGGAAAAUGAGAGGAAGAACAAGAAGGAGAACACCAAGAACUCCAAGAACUAGAUCCAAGGGGUUCCCCUCACAUAGAGGAGAAAAUGAUUGGUGGAAAUGUGGAUCUAGAUCUCCUCUCUCUUUUCCCUCAAAAACUAGCAAGAAUCCAUGGAGGGAUUGAGAGUUAGCAAGCUCGAAGAAGGUCAACAAUGGGGGAAGAACACGAGCUCAAAGGAUAAGGUUGAAUGGGGAAGAAGACCCCCUUUUAUAGGAGCUCCCGAAUCCAACCGUUAUGCUCACAGCCCGCACAGAGCGGUACUACCGCUCCAAGGAGCGGUACUACCGGUAGAGUGGUAGUACCCCUUUGAAACACAACAGCGAGGAGGCAAAAAGGCCAAAAGAACCUUCGGAGCGGUAGUACCGCUCGUCCUCACGGUACUACCGCAAAUGGUAGCAGUACUACUGCUUGCGAGCGGUACUAAAAAAAUACUUCUGUGCCUACUUCCGCUGAGCAAAACACGAGAUUUUGGUCCGGAGCGGUACUACCGCUUAGGAGCUGCGGUAGUACUGCUCUGGAGCGGUACUACCGCUCAGGAGCCGCGGUAGUACUGCUCUGGAGCGGUAGUAAAAAAUUACAUCCGCUCCAGUCGCGGUAGUACCGCUGCAGCCUUUACCAAAACAACCACAACUUUUGCAAACGGACUCCGAAUUCAACGAAACCAAGUUUGUUGGAAAGGUAACGACAUGGGCUAACACAAUAUUGAUAGAAAUGUCAAGAGUAAGCAAAUGAGAAAAGUCCCAAAAUAAAAUGGUGAGAACCCUUCAUCGGAUAAGACCGGUAAAACCUCCAACACCGAAAACAUCAUAGAAGACGCAUGCGAACUCCGUUUUCGAUGAACUCAAGCUUGUCAUCAAGAUGACCAUAAGCUCUAAGACUCACAAAGAUAACCUAACAAGAACCAAUAAACAUGACGCAAGGAUGCAAUGGUUUGAGCUCUCUACUAACGAUAUGAUCAAGCUACCAUCGAGAGCCCCCCUUGAUAGUACGACAAUCGAUCCUAAAACCCGGUCUCCCAACUACCACCAUGAGACCGGUAAAAUAGAAAACCUAUCAAGGGCAAACCUCUGCCUUGCACAAAAUCCACUUGAGCUAGAUGAUGACGAUCUACUCCUCCUCAAGAUGGACCACCUUUCUUGAUUGCGUUGGCUCGAUGAAGACUAGUUGAUUGCUCCCCCAUACUCCAUUAUGGGUGAGCCACUCUCCCGCUCAUCUUCACAAGUCCAUUGUCACCACAAUGGACGGCAAGCUUCAAGCACUUGAUCUCUUCGUGAUGCAUCACUUGAAUUUGCACACCGCAACCUAACCCCACAAAGAACUCUCACGAAGACCAUGGGUUAGCACACAAAGCGUAAUGGACAAUGCUUACCAUACCAUGGGAUCACUUGAUCCCUCGGUACAUCUUGUGCGCUUUGUGUGUUGAAUCUUUCCAACUCUCUUCAUUUGGAUGAUGUCUUGAAGGUGGACAUGAAUGAUCACACAAUCUUAUUCUUCAAGACAUGCUUGCAAUAAGCUCAACACUCACAUGACCGGUCUUUGGAUAAUUCCUUAAUAGUACCAUCGUCAUCACACUCUCUCCUUGAAACCAACAAAUGGACUCCAAGAAAAUCCUAUGGACAAACCCUUCAAAUAUAACUCAAGGCAACCAUUAGUCCAUAGAGAUUGUCAUCAAUUGCCAAAACUAAACAUGGGGGCACCGCAUGUUCUUUCAAUCUCCCCCAUUUUGGUAAUUGAUGACAAUCACUUUGAAGAGAGUUUAUACAAGGAAUUAUGCAUCACCAUGCAAUGCAACAACCAAUGAUGCAAUACAAGGAAUUAUGCAUCACCAUGCAAUGCAACAACCAAUGAUGCAUGAGAAUGAGAUGCAAAUGCUUAGGAACCAAAACCAAAGCAAGGAGAAAACUCAGAAGACUUCUCCAUUAAACUCUCUGAAACUUCUCCCCCAUUGGCAUCGAUUGCUAAAAUGGGCGAAAAGCUUAGAUGGCUAAAAUAAACUGUGGUCCUCCAUAAAUUGUGUAUUUCUCAACAACAGAGUGGAAAGCAAUACACAUAUCCAACUGUCAAUACUUGGAGGAAGACAAACUAUAUUGAGGCCCAAAGAUUGAAACAGAUAGAUAUGCCACAAAGACAUAACAAAGAGAGACACAAGCAAUCAGAAGAUACCAAUUGAAGCAAGCAAUCAACGGAUAUCAAAUGAACCAACUAGACCAAUGAUCCUACAUGCCACAAGAAUAAAGAUAUUAUGAUAAGUGCAAAGGAGUGUUCUAAAGAAACUAUAGGAGCUCCCCAUGAUUUGUGCACACAUACAAUUUUUGUGUUUGAAAACAAAGUGCGCAAAAUAGGAUCAUAGCUCCCCCAAAAUCAAUAAAAAACUUACAUCCAGUGCAAGUGAGCAUAUAGGAAACAAAGCCUAGCGCUUGCAACAAGCACAUGGUUGAGCAACAUGUAAAAGAGGCAACUUAAGAAUAGGCUCAACCAAAAUGAUGUGUGUGAGUCAAGGCAAUGCACUAGAGUAGACUAAUGUACGGAUGAGCAUUACGCAUCAAUAUAGUCUUGAAAUAAUGAGAUACAUGGUGCAAGCCAUGUCAUUCCCACACACAACUAGCAAACAGGUUCACAAGGUCACUAAUAAGCAUAUAAAGAACUUAUGCUUGUGACAACCCGUGGUGAAGAUAGAAGGUGAAAGCCUCAUCAAGACGAGGGAUGCCAAUUAAGAUGGCAAAAGCCUCGUAACGAUAAGCAUGAGGAAAAUAAUCUUCACCACACAAUAGUGCAUCAAGAUGCAACGAUAGAGGACACACACUCAAGGCAAAAGCUUUCACGGAGCCACCAAAGAAAUAACAUAAGAAAGACAAGGUGGACGUGAAAGAAAGGAUAUCAACUAGAGAUGUAAUUUCUCUCAAGUGUAUAAGGUUCUAUGUAGACGAAAUCAUGAUGAUAUAUAUAUCUACAAAGAAGAAUGUACACCCGAAAUAGUUACAACACGAAGGAACAAGAUAUCCACAAGGAAGUCAUAAAUAUACCAAUAAGAUAUUUGCUUGAAAACAUAGCACUGGGCUAGAUAUGGUCUUAUUGUAUAUAAAUGAAGUCCAAACACACAUCCAUCAAGGGCAUCACAACUAGCAACAAGAGAUCAUCAUUGGGAUGCUUUGAGAAAGGAAACAAGUAUCACAAGAUAUGAAAUGAAAAUCAUGCCAAGAUGCAACCUACACAAGGUUGAAUGCAAGAGGAGAAAGCAUGAAUAGAUACUUGUUACCGAGAUAUCAUUGGAAGGAUGUAGUAGAUACCAAUUGAAGGUAGAUAGUAGUUCAUUGAUCAUCCUAGCUUGACUCCAAUAUGCACAUGGUGACAACACCUUCCUUGUGAGUGAGCCGAGCAUCCAAUGCAUCUCCAAAUGUUCCUAGAAGAACAACACAAACUAAACGGUACCCAAACUCAUCGGGACCAAAUAGUUAGAAACACCAAUACAUAGGACAAACUCCACAUAAAUAUGUGCAUAUAGAUAUGAAAAUGAAUUUCAUGCACAUCUCAUCCGAAUUGAGACUAGGUGGAGUUUCCCCUAUAUAUUGAGUCAAAGAAAGAAAGCAUGCCAAAUGAAAUACAUGAAGUAAACAUGCAUGCUCAAGACUUUCAAAACCCGGAACCAAAAGAUAAAUAAAUGCCAAGUGAAAAGGAUACCAAAUGGAGAAAUCAUCACUUGGAAGAUAUCAUUAAAGAUACAUCAAGGAAUGAGAUAUCCAUUGAUACACACUAAACUAAAGAUGUCAAACUCCCAAAGAGAGGAUGGUUCCAAACAUACCAAGCUCUCAACAAAGUUUCAUGAUGGCACAAAGUACCAAAAAGAAAUGGCUUGCCUUCCACCAAAACACACUUGAUAAGGAUCACAAGAAGAGUGAAGAAAAUAGAAUAUCUCCCCCACGAGUUGUGCAUUAUAUAGGAUUUGUAUUUGAAUACAAAAUGCACAAGGUGGGAUCACUGCUUUCACUAUAUCUAGAAAACACUAGACAAGAACUAGAAAUAAACAAGAUCCACAAGUGGUAUGGAAGACAACGGGAGUUAACACAAACCUUGGCAAGAGAAAAAGGAAAAUAAACAAAAGCCAAUGUAAAGAUGAUCAAUUAAAUUCUACCACACAUAAGUGACUACCAAUUUUCAAAAGACAAGAAGUAGAUGGAAAGAAUUCCCAGUGGUAGAUAGCAAGGAUAUCCAACAUCAUCUUCACACCACACACAAGCAAAUUGAAACUUGUAGAGCUAAUAUACCACCUAGCGACUAGAUAAUCCUGUAAUAUCAAUACUAGAUGGUAUUCCUCAUGUACACACAUUUAUAGAAUUGUGAGGUGCACAAAGCACAUCACUCCCCCAAAAUUGGAUGUUCCAUUGAUCUCUCACACGAGCCAACUAGGAUACAAACAAGAAGCAAAAAGGCUCAACGCACGACGCACACGUACAUGAUGUGCAAACCAACACACACAUACUUGAUUGCUCAAGAUAAGCAAGUUGGAAGCGCAACAUAUACAAACACAUGCAAGGAACAAAACCAAAACAUGCAAGGGGGCAAGUAACUUUCAAGGUAAACAAUUUAAGUACAAGUUACCGCGAGGAGGCACAUUGGAUAUAAGAUAGAAACUUGAUAAUCCAAUUGAAUUGGCUUGAGACAAAGAGAAUGAUGAAGUCCCCUUAAUUCUUCAUAAUGUAGCCAAGUCUCCAAUGCCCUCCAACAACACCUAUUGAUCAAGUUUGAGCUUGUUGGUCCCCAACCAACUUGGGUCCUAAGAGGUUAGUCAUAAUAGGUUUGGCUACCUAAAUGGUUCUUUGCUUGACACCACUUUGAGUACCAACAAACUUGGCAAACACAUUGCCAACCUUAUCCUUACCAAGAGAAUAGAUAUCAUCAAUAAUAAUUGGGUUGGAUAAGUUACCACUAGUGCAUGAAGAAGCGACAUGACCUUUCUCACGACAUAAGUAGCAACCUCUACUCUUCACUUUCUUCUCACUUGAUUUCUCAAUUUCAGAAGCAUUAACUUGAGUCUUCUUGGGAAGAGGCCUUUCUUCAACUUGAUGUUGAGCAUGAGAUUGAACUUGUGCCCUCUUCCCUUGUUGCUUGACACUAAUGGCCUUCUUCUUCAAUGGGCAAGAUCUAACAUGAUGCCCUUCAACUUUGCACUUGAAGCAAACAAUCUUGGCCGAAUUCUUGACUUGUUCUUGGCCCUUCUUCUUGUUCAACUUGGACUUCUUCUUCUUGUUGGAUUUGAAUCCAAGUCCACCUUUGUCAUUGGGGGAUUUUUGCACACUCAAGAUAUUGUUGAGUGUGGCCUUCCCUUCAUGACACUUUUCCAAGUCUUUCUUCAAAGAAGUGACUUGGGCCUUGAGCUCUUUGAUUUCCUCUACAUGGUUAGUCUCAACACAAGUACUAGAGGAAGUAUAAGCUUCAUAGUUAGAGCAACAAGGCAAGGAAAGAAAUUCAUCACAAGAUGUACCAACAUUGUGAGUAGAUGAAUUACAAGGACUAGCACAUGGCAAUAUACUAUUUUGACUAGAAGUAGUGCUAGUAUCCACAUGAGGCUCACUAGAUGUUACCUUGGCAGUCAUGUCCUCAUGAGCUAUCUUUAGCACACUAUGGGAUACUAGAAGAUCAUCAUGAGAGCUUGAGAGCUUUUCAUGACUUUCUUACAAUUUCCCAUAAUUGCAAGAUAGCACCUCAAGUUGAGCCCCUAGCUCAACAUUCUCCUUCAAAAUGGAUGCUUCACAAGUAAUAGAAUUAGUAGCACAAGCAUCAUCAUUAACAACAAGAGGAGAAGGCAACUUGGCAAGCUCUUUUAAAUAAGAAGCUUCAAGUUGAGCAUGAGACUCGGUGAGUUUGAUGAGCUCACCCUUGAUGACCCUUGAGCCAUUUUCGAGGUGCUCAAAAUCCUCAAGGAGUCUAGCAUGAUCAACUUCAAGCUUAGCAUUUUUAGUUUCAAAAACAUUGGCCACCUUAAGAGCUCUAUCAGUAGAUUCCUUCACUUUAGACAAUUCUAGAGCAAAAGUCUCCUCAAGAGAUUCCUUGGUGGUUUGUUCAAGUUCAAGAUCUUGAGAGAGGUCCGCAAUCUCAUUAGCAUAAUCACGCCCAUGACCUUCCAUUUUAUCAAUGGUGGCCUCAUGCUCCUCUAGAUGAGAUUCCAACUCCUCAAUGUAUUUCUUGCCAUCAAUGGCAAUGGACAUUAUUUCCAUGAAGUUGGAACGAGCAAUUUUAUUUUUAUGAAGAGCUUUAAAAAUCAUUUCCCCCUUAGUUUUAAAGGAGGCAACAUUAUCGUUCUCUUCAUCAUUAUCCUCAUCAUCAUUAGCAUCAACAUCAUCAUCAAGAGACAUAUUGGGGUACAAAGUAGGAGAUACCUUUGACGCCUUAGCCAUAAGGCAAAAAGCAAUAGAUGAUGAUGUAGGAUCCCUUGAGGCACCAUUAAACACCACAUCUUGUUCCAUGGAGUGUUCGGUUUCCACUACAUUGUUAGCACAACAAUUCGAGGAAAUAGAUGCAUUUUUAUCAUGGCAACAAGACAUAGCAAGCAUAUCAUCAUGAGAUUUAGUCAAGCAAUUUCUACAUGAUAUGCAAGGACUAUCAACACAAGCAUGUGAAAAAUUUGGAGUGCUCGAAGUGUUAAAGCCCAAAGAAGGAGCAUUGCAAUAAUAUAGUGGUGAAGGAUCAUCCACAAUAAGCAUACUAUCAUCAUUGCAAUGACCAACACUACUCACCAUGUCAUUACCUUGUGGCAAACCACAUGUAGGUGAAGUAGAAGAAGUUGAGAAGACUAUACGACCGAAGGUGGAGGAAGAACAAUCAUCCCCACAAAUCUUGGACACACCAUAUUUAUCUUGAAGCUUCGUCCACAACUCAUGAGCAUCUCGGAACGGCAUGAGUUGAAAUAUAACUACAUUGCUCAAAGCAUCGAAAAGCACAUUAGAAGCUUGAGCAUUGAGAUAAGAGUUGUUCUCAUCCUCUAAAGAUAAUCUUUGGGGAUCCUUUGGAGGAGAAAAACCCAUAUCUACAAUUCGCUCUAAAUUUGGGUCCAUGACCCUAAAGAGAUUAAGCAUGUGAAUUACCCAAACAUCAAAAUUUGUGCCAUCGAAACUAAGAGUGUCAGAGAAUCCCAAUCCCCUAGUCGACAUCUUUACUCUCUAGGCGGUAAAGCCUAAUAAAGAGAGACGAGGCUCUGAUACCAAUUGAAAGAUCGAGGAUGUCGCCUAGAGGGGGGGUGAAUAGGCGCUUUAAAAUAAUUACGGUUUAGGCUUGAACAAAUGCAGAAUAAACCUAGCGGUUAAUUUGUCAAGCACAAAACCUACAACAACUAGGCUCACCUAUGUGCACCAACAACUUAUGCUAAGCAAGAUAACCAACUAUGUGAUAGCAAGAUAUAUGACAAAGAACAAUAUGGCUAUCACAAAGUAAAGUGCAUAAGUAAAGGGGCUCGGGUAAGAGAUAACCGAGGCACGCGGAGACGACGAUGUAUCCCGAAGUUCACACCCUUGCGGAUGCUAAUCUCCGUUUGGAGCGGUGUGGAGGCACAAUGCUCCCCAAGAAGCCACUAGGGCCACCGUAAUCUCCUCACGCCCUCGCACAAUGCAAGAUGCCGUGAUUCCACUAAGGGACCCUUGAGGGCGGUCACCAAAUUCGUACAAAUUGCGACCCUUGGGGGUGGUCACCGAACCCGUACACUUUGGCAACCCUUGGGGGCGGUCACCGGAACCCGUCAAAUUGCUCGGGGCGAUCUCCACAACCUAAUUGGAGACCCCGACGCUUGCCCGGAGCUUUACACCACAAUGAUUGAGCUCUGAACACCACCAACCGUCUAGGGCGCCCAAGUACCCAAGAGGAACAAGCUCAAGGGCACCAAGCACCCAAGAGUAAUGAGCUUCUCAACUUGUAACUUCCACGUAUCACCGUGGAACUCAAACCGAUGCACCAAAUGCAAUGGCAAGGGCACACGGAGUGCCCAAGUCCUUCUCUCUCAAAUCCCACCAAAGAACCUAAUGCUAGGGAGGAAAAUGAGAUGAAGAACAAGAAGGAGAACACCAAGAACUCCAAGAACUAGAUCCAAGGGGUUCCCCUCACAUAGAGGAGAAAGUGAUUGGUGGAAAUGUGGAUCUAGAUCUUCUCUCUCUUUUCCCUAAAAAACUAGCAAGAAUCCAUGGAGGGAUUGAGAGUUAGCAAGCUCGAAGAAGGUCAACAAUGGGGGAAGAACACGAGCUCAAAGGAUAAGGUUGAAUGGGGAAGAAUACCCCCUUUUAUAGGAGCUCCCGAAUCCAACCGUUAUGCUCACAGCCCGCACAGAGCGGUACUACCGCUCCAAGGAGCGGUACUACAACUAGGGCGGUAGUAUCCCUUCGAAACACAACAGCGAGGAGGCAAAAAGGCCAAAAGAACCUUCGGAGUGGUAGUACCGCUCGUCCUCAUGGUACUACCGCUCGACCUCACGGUACUACCGCAAAUGGUAGCGGUACUACUGCUUGCGAGCGGUACUAAAAAAAUACUUCUGUGCCUACUUCCGCUGAGCAAAACACAAGAUUUUGGUCCGGAGCGGUACUACCGCUUAGGAGCCGCGGUAGUACUGCUCUGGAGCGGUACUACCGCUCAGGAGCCGCGGUAGUACUGCUAUGGAGUGGUAGUAAAAAAUUACAUCCGCUCCAGUCGCGGUAGUACCGCUGUAGCCUUUACCAAAACAACCACAACUUUUACAAACGGACUCCGAAUUCAACGAAACCAAGUUUGUUGGAAAGCUAACGACAUGGUCUAACACAAUAUUGAUAGAAAUGUCAAGAAUAAGCAAAUGAGAAAAGUCCCAAAAGAAAAUGGUGAGAACCCUUCAUCGGAUAAGACCGGUAAAACCUCCAACACACAAAACAUCAUAGAAGACACAUGCGAACUCCGUUUUCGAUGAACUCAAGCUUGUCAUCAAGAUGAACAUAAGCUCUAAGACUCACAAAGAUAACCCAACAAGAACCAAGAAACAUGACGCAAGGAUGCAAUGGUUUGAGCUCUCUACUAACGAUACGAUCAAGCUACCAUCGAGAGCCCCCCUUGAUAGUACGACAAUCUAUCCUAAAACCCGGUCUCCCAACUACCACCAUGAGACCGGUAAAAUAGAAAACCUAUCAAGGGAAAACCUCUCCCUUGCACAAAAUCCACUUGAGCUAGAUGAUAACGAUCUACUCCUCCUCAAGAUGGACCACCUUUCUUGAUUGCGUUGGCUCGAUGAAGACUAGUUGAUUGCUCCCCCAUACUCCACUAUGGGUAAGCCACUCUUCCGCUCAUCUUCACAAGUCCAUUGUCACCACAAUGGACGGCAAGCUUCAAGCACUUGAUCUCUUCGUGAUGCAUCACUUGAACUUGCACACCGCAACCUAACCCCACAAAGAACUCUCACGAAGACCAUGGGUUAGCACACAAAGCGUAAUGGACAAUGCUUACCAAACCAUGGGAUCACUCGAUCCCUCGGUACAUCUUGUGCGCUUUGUGUGUUGAAUCUUUCCAACUCUCUUCAUUUGGAUGAUGUCUUGAAGGUGGACAUGAAUGAUCACACAAACUUAUUCUUCAAGACAUGCUUGCAAUAAGCUCAACACUCACGUGACCGGUCUUUGGAUAAUUCCUUAAUAGCACCGUGGUCAUCACACUCUCUCCUUGAAACCAACAAAUGGACUCCAAGAAAAGCCUAUGGACAAACCCUUCAAAUAUAACUCAAGGAAACCAUUAGUCCAUAGAGAUUGUCAUCAAUUGCCAAAACCAAACAUGGGGGCACCGCAUGUUCUUUCAAAAGGUUUGAGAUCAUAGAAAUUGCGCUCGACGGUGAACCGAUUGAACCCAUCCAGACAAAGAACGCAUUUUCUGCUCAGUGCGGGGUUCUUGUUAGGGACAAGAUCCCGAUCAGCAUCCAGCAAUGGUAUAAGCCUAAGGAGGAAGACCCUGAGGUGUCUUAUGUCAAUGAUAUGCAGAAAGAUGAUCUUUGGACUUAGCUGAAGGCAAAUUUCACCCUACCGCCAGAGGAGGAUCCGGAGAAGCCAGUUAAAGAGCAAUUAAUCAAGUCUUGUGCUCUUAAGAAGAUGGCAACCCUAUUCAGGAGGUGGAGGAAAGAGCUGAACAAGUUUGUCGACAAAGACGACAAACCAGAAUUCAUCGGCAAAUAUGAGAAGAUCAAGGAUCACUGGCCCGCAUUUGUGGCCCACAAGACAUCGGAAAAGAGUAAGAAGAUGUCGUCGACAAACAAGCAAAAUGCUGCGAAGAAGCAGUUUCACCAUCGCACGGGGUCAGGUGGCUACCUCAAAGCCUGGCCUAGGUGGUCCAAGGCUGAGAAUGAUCUGCUUGAUAAAGGGAUCGAACCAGAGACAAUGAACAGGCCAGACCGUUGCCGGACUUGGUUCUUCGGGGCUGGCGGAACCUUGGACCCUGUAUCAGGGAAGUGUCGUUGGAUGGACGAGAAACUAAAAACACUAGUCAAGAGGCUUCGGCACUAUAUCAAUGCAGCACAACAAGGGACGUUUGUUCAGACAGGAAGAAGGACGAGCUCACAAUGUCCCUCGGGAAUCCUGAGCACCCUGGACGGACACGAGGCAUGCCAGGCUCCAUUCCAUGGAAGGUUGGUUUUCCAAACGCAAGGGGUUACAAAACCCAUGAGAGGAGGAAGAAACUAGAGUCGGGCCAACUGCAGGCGCUGCACAAAAGGGUAAUGGGGCUAGAGGAACGAGAAGAGGAAUGACAAGCAGAUCGCAGCAAACGACCUGCUGAAGCUUUCCCCAAAGCUACCCCGCCAUCUCAGCGGAGAACCAGCGUGGCUUCCACCGAGCUGAUUCAGCUGGAGCAUGUCUUGACGGCUCCUGCCAGCUAUCCCGUGGAUGCUAUCAUGGAGUCUCAAAAUUGCCACAUUAUGACGCGAUGGAUGAAUUUGAAGGUCAAGGCGGCUGUUGGCUCUGUUUAUCCUAUUGAACCCGGCGCAAAUUUUUAGUGUCGGCCGAUUCCAGAAGGAUAUGCUAGGGUGAUGGUGGAUGAAAUAACGGAGGGAUUUGAGGACCUCCAGCUUGACCACCCUACCGGUGAAGGGGAGACUAGGCUGGGUUCUGCUUUGAAGACUCCAUGCCUAUGGCGGAAUGAGCUCAUCAACCUUUCGAACUAGACGCCUCCGCCUCCUCCUCCUCCUCCUCCGGCGAGUCAGGGCACUCCGCCUCCUCCACCGCCUCCUUCUCCGGCGAGUGACGAUCAGGGCACUGGGCCUCCUUCUCUGGCGCAUGGCGGCACUCCGCCUCCUUCUCCGCCUAUGCCGGCGCGCCCGAGCAGCCAGCAGCCUCCUCCUUCUCCGCCUUGCCAGCAAGGGUGGAAGAGACCCGCCGCCGCCCCGGUAGCUCCGGCGCGUCGUAGUCCUUCUCCUCCGCCUCGUAAGCAAGCAUGAAAGAAGACAGACGCCGCAGCCGCUCCCUCUGCUCCGGCGUCUAGCAGUACAGCUAGAGGCGGGAGGUAAUAUAGAUACGGUCCACCUCUCAAGCCUCUAGAGAAGUUACCGUACGAUAGGACCGAGGAGGAAAACGCGAUGACCGUGCGGACCCACGUGAAGGACUUCGUUGAAGGGGUGAAAGCAAAGAGACAUCCACCUCCGGAGGAGAAGGUAGAUCCGGUGAAAGCAAAGCGCACUCUCGAUGCCCUGAGGAAACCGGCAAAGUCUCCGUCGAGAACCAACAAUGAGCGCAUUACUGAACAGACAUAUCUCCAAGCGGAGCGGUCGGGAAGUACUGUCAGACAUCAAAGGUCAAGAGAACGAGCAGCUGCGAAAAAAAUUGACCAGCUCGGCGAACAAGCAAAUCAAUCGUGCCCCCUGCUCAAUGUGUCUAGCGGCGACAUCGUCGCUAAUGCUCCGGGGAUGGUGGCCAGUUAUGGCAAUCUAUCAGAUUACCUGCCUGACGAUCAACUUCCUGAUUUCAUGGAGGUGGACGAACACAUAUACGAGUACGGGAAGCCUCUCGUCAAAGAUGAAAAAUCUCAAACAGCGAUGAUGCGAAGAUUCCAUAAUUGGUACAUGAAAACCUGCAGAGAGUCUGGGGGGACGAAUAGUUUGUAUCUGAACAUUAAAGAGGAGCACGACCUCAUUGGAACUGAUUUGUUUGUUAUUCCAUUUGAGGAGUUCUUCGUGUUCUUCAAUCAAAAGGCCCUCGAUAAUUUAAUGGUCUUUUGCUACUGUCUGUAAGUACUAUUUCUGUCAUUAAGUCUCUCUAUAUAGCUCGGCUCUUUCAUUGCAUGUAUUUAUAAUUAAUUAUCCUCAAUAUAUUAUGCAGAUUGAAGAUCGUCGAGUGCAGAAAACAAGAAAUGUAUGAUAUUGGGUUCAUUAACACAAAUAUCAUAGAUGAUAUUCAGGUUAAAAAGCACGCCGAAGAGGCCGAGGCCAACUUGCUACAAUCCUUGAUCAAAAAUCAAAACAAAGAUACCAUACUCUUUCCUUACAACUUCAAGUGAGUGUUACUGUCGUGUGCAUAUUCGGUUUCCCUUAUUACUCGAGCGAGGUUAUAGUAAUGUAAUUGAUGAGUUAUGCAUGCGUGCACAGCUACCACUAUGUUCUUUUGGAGAUUAAGCUUGAGCGGGGACUAGUAACCGUCUUAGACUCGAGACGGAAAUAUCCUGAAACCUAUGCGGACAUGACUGAAUUGCUCAACAAGUAAGUUCAAUCGACCAUUAUCGCACCAUAUCGGCAACUUUUUGUUCAUUUCCUGAUAUCUCAAGUAAUAAUUAUUAUUUUCUUUGUCUUGCAGGGUUUGGAAACAGUUCACCGCAGAAGCUCCGGGACUGCCGAAGGAGCUGCGAUAUACAUACCCGAAAGUAAGUACUACUGGCUAGCUAGUUGCGCGCAUCUCCCGUUGAUUCUAUAGCUAUACUUUCAUCAAUGCCAUUUAUAAUGCUUCAUUAUCAGUUUGAUUGAUCUCUAUUUCUCGUAAAGUGCUUGUGGCAGGAACAAGGGAAUGAUUUAUGUGGAUACUACGUGUGCGAGUUCAUCUACAUCACGACUUUGAAAAAUAAGCGGGGCUACUAUAAAAGAUAAUAUGAAGUUCGUAAGCAAUAAUAUUCACAAUUUCAUUUUAUUACACCAUCAUUUCUGUUGAGUUUCAUUCAUAUAUAUGUAUUAAUUAGCCCCCUUCUUCAAAUUAGACGUGGCAGAUGCGGAAUGAACUCCUAUAACAAGAUCGCAUGAAAGCAAUUCAAGAGGAAUUGGCGGGAUUCUUUCUUGACCACGUCAUCAAUAAAGCCGGAGAAUACCAUGUGGAAGUUGAUUUCAAUUGCUAGGGGAUUGUAAUUAAGAGAUCUUACAUAUUGUAUAUGUAUGUAGCUAGUAGCGUCGGAUAGAUAAUACGAAAACUUGUUGUUCGACCAAUCUCUCGGAGAAGGAGAGGUCGAUCGAUCACUUCUCUCGGUAUGCAUGAUGAAAUUCUGUACUUAAUGGUUCCCUUCAUUUUCUUACUAGCUAGCGUGUCGAGGGCCUCUCUAUGUAUAGUACGUAGCGUCGACCAAGCACGGACAUAAGAGAGGACACUUCUCUCUAUUAAUUAGCUAGCUAACACAAUAUAUGAAACACCGAAAUUAACCCCCCACCCCCCUUAAAAAACAAAAACCCCAGCCACUGAAAUGCUGACGCGUGGAUGCCUUUUGGUCCCGGUUGGUGCCACCAACCGGGACCAAAGGCCCCCUUGCCUGGGCUCGGCGCACCGGCCACGUGGAGGCCCAUCUGUCCCGGCUCAUAUUAGAACCGGGACUAAAGGUGGGAGGUAUUAGUAACGACCCAUUAGUCCCGGUUCAUGAACCGGGACUAAAGGCUCUUACGAACCGGGACAAAUGCCCCCUUUUCUAUUAGUGCUCUCCCGGCCACUCCGACCAACAACCCUUUUUGGGUUCAGUCGUGGGUGGCCCAUGCCUACCAAAGGCUAACGGCCACCGUUGUGGAAAAAACGGUCCCAAACAUGGACAAAGCGCGCAAAACAACUCGGUUCACAAGGUUCAUGUCCGCCUACCUGAUCAGGGUAGCGCGCGCCCAUAACCUUCCCUACGUUGGAGGCACUAGCGAGAGGCAUGGCAAUAGACCCGUUAGGGCCUUCCCAUUCCAAGGCAAAUGUGGCUGCACUGGAAAAGGCCCGAUUUGGUGGCACUAUGACAUCCCAGUGAUGACGGAGGAGGUUUGUUAUUAAGUCAUAUGAUUAACUUCUCCAUCAUCAAUCAUCAAGCGAGCAUUAUUAACAUGAAUGCAACAACUAACAUGCAACAUACUGACGCAGUAACAAAACAUCAAGCAUUUCAAAAGAAAAAUUAUAGCAUGCGAAUCAUGGCAAUAACAGGUAUUAGCGAACUUAUCAGUGCAACAGAAUUAUAAUAGCAUCGAUACUACUAACAUGAAAAUAAACUAGAUAGAGGCAUGAUAUUAUCGGUAACAACAACAAACUAGCAUGUUAACUUAUUUUAUGAAAGCAUAAGCAUGCAAGACAGAUAACAAAACAUAUAGCACGAUUAAAAUAACAUCAGAUGGAACAGACAAGAAACUACUUCAACUAAACACACACACGAGGUGCAAACAAAGUCAACAUGCAAGUUUGGGGCUCAUGAUAAGAGGUUGGCUUGCCUGGGGGUCGAGGAUUACUCCGGAAAAGUGUGGAACGAUCGGAGAAAGAUUUGCCGGAAACAGUUCUCUCUCGGAGCGGACUGUUUACGGGCAAGGGCAAAAUGGUCAUUUUCAGAAUGUGCAAACAUGGUGAAAGUGAUCCCAUCAUAACGGGCUCGACGAAACAAAGACGUGGGCUUUGGAAUCACAUGAUUCGGAGCUACGGGUAAAAAGAUACGCAGGGUUGAAGUUCAGGGACCUAUCGGUAAAAAUCUUUCAGCAAACAGGUCCCUGGAGGAAAAACUGAACGCGCCUUUCGGGGAAAUAUGCUUUCGUGUGGGGGAGACCUAUUUCAUAGAAUACGCCUCCACUUAUCCACGUGGCAGUGGCGGGAGUGGGCCAAGGUCAACGCCGUGACGCUUCCAGGUGGGUCGCGCGGGGAGGGGCCCGCCUGGC